This 478-nucleotide ribosomal RNA is filed under the name uncultured bacterium. RNAcentral describes it as "partial 16S ribosomal RNA". It matches the Rfam family "Bacterial small subunit ribosomal RNA", at positions 28 to 523 of the family's 1533-position model. The record is from RNAcentral.
GACGAACGCUGGCGGCGUGCUUAACACAUGCAAGUCGAACGGUAAGGCCCUUCGGGGUACACGAGUGGCGAACGGGUGAGUAACACGUGGGUGAUCUGCCCUGCACUUCGGGAUAAGCCUGGGAAACUGGGUCUAAUACCGGAUAGGACCACUGCCUGCAUGGGUGGUGGUGGAAAGCUUUUGCGGUGUGGGAUGGGCCCGCGGCCUAUCAGCUUGUUGGGGGGGUGAUGGCCUACCAAGGCGACGACGGGUAGCCGGCCUGAGAGGGUGACCGGCCACAAUGGGACUGAGAUACGGCCCAGACUCCUACGGGAGGCAGCAGUGGGGAAUAUUGCACAAUGGGCGCAAGCCUGAUGUAGCGACGCCGCGUGAGGGAUGACGGCCUUCGGGUUGUAAACCUCUUUCAGCACUGACGAAGCGCAAGUGACGGUAGGUGCAGAAGAAGGACCGGCCAACUACGUGCCAGCCGCCGCGGUAA